AUUGAACGCUGGCGGCAUGCCUUACACAUGCCAGUCGAACGGUAACGGGCCUUCGGGUGCCGACGAGUGGCGAACGGGGGAGUAAUACAUCGGAACGUGCCCGAUCGUGGGGGAUAACGAGGCGAAAGCUUUGCUAAUACCGCAUACGAUCUACGGAUGAAAGCAGGGGACCGCAAGGCCUUGCGCGGACGGAGCGGCCGAUGGCAGAUUAGGUAGUUGGUGGGAUAAAAGCUUACCAAGCCGACGAUCUGUAGCUGGUCUGAGAGGAUGAUCAGCCACACUGGGACUGAGACACGGCCCAGACUCCUACGGGAGGCAGCAGUGGGGAAUUUUGGACAAUGGGCGCAAGCCUGAUCCAGCCAUGCCGCGUGCAGGAUGAAGGCCUUCGGGUUGUAAACUGCUUUUGUACGGAACGAAAAGCCUUCUUUUAAUACAGGAGGGUCAUGACGGUACCGUAGGAAUAAGCACCGGCUAACUACGUG
Molecule: ribosomal RNA, 482 nt
Filed under: uncultured bacterium
Lineage: Bacteria
Description: partial 16S ribosomal RNA
Rfam family: Bacterial small subunit ribosomal RNA
Source: RNAcentral